RNAcentral lists this ribosomal RNA (724 nucleotides) under uncultured bacterium. Its description in RNAcentral is "bacterial SSU rRNA". It matches the Rfam family "Bacterial small subunit ribosomal RNA", at positions 28 to 776 of the family's 1533-position model. The record is from RNAcentral.
GAUGAACGCUGACAGAAUGCUUAACACAUGCAAGUCUACUUGAUCCUUCGGGUGAUGGUGGCGGACGGGUGAGUAACGCGUAAAGAACUUGCCCUGCAGUCUGGGACAACAUUUGGAAACGAAUGCUAAUACCGGAUAUUAUGUGAGUUUCGCAUGAAAUUCAUAUGAAAGCUAUAUGCGCUGCAGGAGAGCUUUGCGUCCUAUUAGCUAGUUGGUGAGGUAACGGCUCACCAAGGCGAUGAUAGGUAGCCGGCCUGAGAGGGUGAACGGCCACAAGGGGACUGAGACACGGCCCUUACUCCUACGGGAGGCAGCAGUGGGGAAUAUUGGACAAUGGACCAAAAGUCUGAUCCAGCAAUUCUGUGUGCACGAUGAAGUUUUUCGGAAUGUAAAGUGCUUUCAGUUGGGACGAAGUAAGUGACGGUACCAACAGAAGAAGCGACGGCUAAAUACGUGCCAGCAGCCGCGGUAAUACGUAUGUCGCAAGCGUUAUCCGGAUUUAUUGGGCGUAAAGCGCGUCUAGGCGGUUUGGUAAGUCUGAUGUGAAAAUGCGGGGCUCAACUCCGUAUUGCGUUGGAAACUGCCAAACUAGAGUACUGGAGAGGUGGGCGGAACUACAAGUGUAGAGGUGAAAUUCGUAGAUAUUUGUAGGAAUGCCGAUGGGGAAGCCAGCCCACUGGACAGAUACUGACGCUAAAGCGCGAAAGCGUGGGUAGCAAACAGG